This 1521-nucleotide ribosomal RNA is filed under the name Triticum aestivum (bread wheat). RNAcentral describes it as "partial small subunit ribosomal RNA". The record is from RNAcentral. Lineage: Eukaryota; Viridiplantae; Streptophyta; Magnoliopsida; Poales; Poaceae.
AUGUUGCCCCGGCAAGUUUGGAGACUCAUUCAAAACCCGGAAUCCCUCUGUGCUAGGGUUUUGCAGGCCCGCUACUUUUCCAAUGGAAACAUCUUUGAGGCGGUCCCAAGGGAGGGUAUCUCCUAUGCCUAGCGAAGUGUGCUGCAUGUGCUAAGUUUGUUUCGAGAGGGCUACGUCUGGCGGAUUGAGGAUGGCACACACGUCCGUAUUUGGUCGGAUCCCUGGAUUCCUCGAGCCUAGUCGAGACGUGUCAUCACCCCGCGUGGUCCUAGUAUCUUGGAGUGGGUCAGCGAUCUCAUUAAUCCACUCACUGGGGCCUGGGAUGAACAGCUUGUGCGAGAUACUUUUUGGGCGGAUGAUGUGAAGCACAUACUUUAGAUUCCUCUUCGGGAUGGAGUCCCAGACUUUGUGGCAUGGCAGUAUGACACCAAGGGCAUCCAUUCGGUCAAAAGUGCGUACAAGCUUCACAUGGAGAUUGAGAAAACCCGGAGUGACAGCGGGGUUGGUGGAAGCGACAACAAUCCUGGGAAUCUUGAUCGAACACCUGACGAUUCAUGGAAACGGAUUUGGCGACUACCCUGCCCCAAGAACAUACAAAUGUUCACGUGGAGACUGAAGCACGAGUCACUUGCUCUUCGGGUGAAUGUUGCCCGAAAAGGAAUUCAUAUUGAAAGUACCAAAUGUUUAUUCUGCGGGCUGGCAGACGAGGAUGGAGCUCACCUUUUCAUAAAAUGCAAAAUAGUGAAGUGUGUGUGGAGAGACUUGGCCAUGGAGAAGGAGAGGAUGCAACUCGAGGAGAUCACGUCUAUGCAUGCAAUGCUUGAUUUCCUAUGGGGCCUAGAUGUCAAUAAGCGCUUGCACGUGCUUACUUUCUGGUGGCUAUGGUGGUCUAACCGGAACAAACAGAGGGAGGGAGAACUACCUUUGGAGGCGAGUGUGGUGGCGCGAAGAAUGCGCAGCAAUGUCAUCGAGUACCUGCAAAUAUUUACCCAUGUCCAGGAUAAGAAGCAACCGGAUAGGUGGUGCCCACCGAAGGAAACUAUGUACAAGAUCAAUGUUGAUGGUUCCUUCAUCCCGAGCCAAGAUCACGUAGGUUGGGGUGCCGCUGUGAGAACUGCUGAGGGUAACCUGAUUUGUGCUCAGGCUAGCAGAGAGACGAACAUUGGGGAUGCUUUUGCAGCUGAAGCAGUAGCUAUGGCCCAUGCGAUCAGCCUGGCGUCCGACCUCGGACUGGUGAGGGUUGAGCUCGAGACUGAUUCCCAGCUCCUGGCAGAGGCGCUCGACUUUCGUAAGGCGGACUCCUCGCCGUAUGCAGCCCAGAUCGAGGACAUGAAAUACCACCUUAAGAUGUGGUUUUUGAAAGUUUCCAUUUCUGUUUGUAGGCGUAGCGCAAAUUCUGUAGCACAUGAACUAGCCGGCAUUGGCCGUGCGUGUGUGAGUGACCACCAUCUGGAGUGGUCGUCUGAUGUCCCUGCCCACGUGGGUGUUUGUAUCCUGGGUGAUAUGCCCAGAAACCGUUAA